GUCCAGCUGAAGAGUCCCAAAUAGGACGAAACGCGCGUCCUGGAU
Schistosoma mansoni is the source of this 45-nucleotide non-coding RNA. NCBI's taxonomy places the organism in Eukaryota, Metazoa, Platyhelminthes, Trematoda, Strigeidida, Schistosomatidae. The record is from Rfam.